ACUCCUACGGGAGGCAGCAGUGGGGAAUAUUGCACAAUGGGCGCAAGCCUGAUGCAGCCAUGCCGCGUGUAUGAAGAAGGCCUUCGGGUUGUAAAGUACUUUCAGCAGUGAGGAAGGUGGGUAUGUUAAUAGCAUACUCAUUUGACGUUAGCUGCAGAAGAAGCACCGGCUAACUCCGUGCCAGCAGCCGCGGUAAUACGGAGGGUGCGAGCGUUAAUCGGAAUUACUGGGCGUAAAGCGCAUGCAGGUGGUUUGUUAAGUCAGAUGUGAAAGCCCGGGGCUCAACCUCGGAAUUGCAUUUGAAACUGGCAAACUAGAGUACUGUAGAGGGGGGUAGAAUUUCAGGUGUAGCGGUGAAAUGCGUAGAGAUCUGAAGGAAUACCGGUGGCGAAGGCGGCCCCCUGGACAGAUACUGACACUCAGAUGCGAAAGCGUGGGGAGCAAACAGGAUUAGAUACCCCCGGUAGGCCUGC
RNAcentral lists this ribosomal RNA (473 nucleotides) under uncultured bacterium. Its description in RNAcentral is "bacterial SSU rRNA". It matches the Rfam family "Bacterial small subunit ribosomal RNA", at positions 335 to 798 of the family's 1533-position model. The record is from RNAcentral.